AAAUUUUUAACUAAUUUAAAUCCAAUUAAAAUUAAAAAUUUUCUUUUUUUUUAAAAAUUAAAUAAUUUUAAGAUAAAAUUUAAUUUAUUACUAAUUUUAAAAUUUAAAGUUAAUUGAUGUUAAAAAUUUUAUUCAAAAACUAGGAUUAGAUACCCUAUUAUAAAAAUAUAAAUUUUAAAAUUAAAAUAUUAAAUAUUAAAUUACUAAAUUUAAAAAAAUUGACGGUAUUUUUUUUUAUUAAAGAAACUUAAAAUUUAAAUUGAUAAUCCACAUUAUAAUAAACUAAAUUUAUAUUUUUAUAUAUUACUGUUUAAAUUUAAUUUCUUUUUUUAAUUAUUAUUUAAAUUUAUUCAAAUAAAAUAUUUCAAGUCAAAAUAUAAAUAUAAUUUAGAUAUUUAGAGUUACUUUUAAUUUUAAAAUAAUUUAUUUAUUUUUUUUUAAUUAAAUUAAAAUUUAGAAUUUAAUAAUAAAUUUUUAAAAUUUUAAAAAUUAAAAUUUUCUAAAAAUAUGUACAUAUUGCCCGUCAUUCUUAUUUUUAAUUUAAGACAAGUCGUAACAAAGUAAUUUUACUGGAAAGUAAAAUUAGAAGUUAUAAA
This 596-nucleotide ribosomal RNA is filed under the name Microplitis incurvatus. RNAcentral's name for it is "12S ribosomal RNA". Lineage: Eukaryota; Metazoa; Arthropoda; Insecta; Hymenoptera; Braconidae. The record is from RNAcentral.